RNAcentral lists this ribosomal RNA (253 nucleotides) under uncultured bacterium. RNAcentral describes it as "partial 16S ribosomal RNA". It matches the Rfam family "Bacterial small subunit ribosomal RNA", at positions 524 to 776 of the family's 1533-position model. The record is from RNAcentral.
UACAGAGGGUGCGAGCGUUAAUCGGAAUUUCUGGGCGUAAAGCGCGCGUAGGCGGCUUUGCAAGUCGGGUGUGAAAUCCCCAGGCUUAACCUGGGAACUGCAUUCGAGACUGCAUUGCUAGAGUAUGGGAGAGGGAAGUGGAAUUUCCGGUGUAGCGGUGAAAUGCGUAGAUAUCGGAAGGAACAUCAGUGGCGAAAGCGACUUCCUGGACCAAUACUGACGCUCAUGUGCGAAAGCGUGGGGAGCAAACAGG